This is a long non-coding RNA of Haplochromis burtoni (Burton's mouthbrooder), 1409 nucleotides long. RefSeq lists it as uncharacterized. NCBI's taxonomy places the organism in Eukaryota, Metazoa, Chordata, Actinopteri, Cichliformes, Cichlidae. The record is from RefSeq and is a predicted model, not a curated record. The transcript is spliced from 3 exons.
AGCGGUCAUGGAGAGUCUCCAUCCAGCUGGAUCACUGUCACAGACAAACACACCACCACACCUCCACCUACAUCCACACCUCCCCCUACAUACACACUUCCACCUACAUCUGGACUUUCACUUACAUCGUCCUCUGCAUCAUUCGUCCCUGGUCUUCUUCCUGUCUUGCUGACUGUUGCAUCAGCCUGUACUGCGAUGCUGAGAUGACACGAUUACAGGAAACUCAAAGAUAAACAAGAAGGAGCUGGAUGAGACAACAUCACCAGUGUCAUCAUGCAUUUUCACCGUCUAUGAGGACAUUUUUAUCAAUGACAUUAUUAUUACUGUUUCUCUCGAUUGCAGAGACUCGUUUCUUAAAAUGAUGUCUCCUAAAACUUUCUACACAAGUUCACAACUACACAGCCACUUACAACAAAACCUCCAUUUACCAGGUUAAAAGCAAACUUUGCCUAAAUAUAUCACAUAAAGCCCUCAAAGCACACUGGAGUUCCCCACCCCUGCUCUAUGGCUGUUUUCUGCAGGGGUGGGGAACUCCAGGGCUCGAGGACCAGUGUCCUGCACGUUUUAGAUGUGUCCUUGAUCCAACACAGUCUUUAAGUUCUCCACAGGCCUAGUAAUGAACUAAUCCUUUGAAUCAGGUGUGUUAACCCAGGGUGAGAUCCAAAACCUGCAAGACAUCAGCCCUCGACUCCUGGAGUUCGACGCCUGUGCUUUUCUGUGUGCAAAACCAACACCAUGGGGAUCCCCCACCCUCAGCUCUCAGGUUUAUUCCAGUGUUUCAUUUUUUCCAGGGCAAAUCUGUUUCACCAAGAUCAAAGUUAAUCUUCAUAAACUGAAAAUUCAGAUGAAUUAAAUCUCACAUAAACAUAUUUUAAUCCAUCCAUCCAUUCUCUUCCACUCAUCCUUGUCAGGAUUGUAAGGAUGGCUGCAGCCUAUCCCAGCCACCAGGGUGGGAGGCGGGGUACACCCUUGCCAGUCUGUCACAAUGCCAACACAGAGACAGACAACUAUUUACACCUAUGGGUAAUUUAGAUUCACCAGUUGACCUAACUCCACUAACUGCAUGUCUUUAGACCAGGGGAGGGCGCUAGAGUGCCCAGAGAGAACCCACACAGACACAUGCAAACUCCACACAGAGAGGCCGUGGCAUGGUGGUGAAGUUAAAUGCACGACCUUCCUUCUGUGAGGCAACAGUGCUAACCACCACAUAUUUAACCUGCGAGGAAAGUGAGAGCAUUUUCACAUCACAGCAGAAACAUCUGGACCUGCAUCCUGAUGCUGUUCGUGGAUAUCCUGAAGACCGAUAACGAGGCUCCUCCAGAAAAGUUCAAAUAAUUUGCUUCAAUAUCGAGUCAUCUGUAUAUUAAACACCAGCUGUUUGUGUCACAUGUUUGGAAGUAUACUAGAAU